Molecule: long non-coding RNA, 1176 nt
Filed under: Accipiter nisus (Eurasian sparrowhawk)
Lineage: Eukaryota; Metazoa; Chordata; Aves; Accipitriformes; Accipitridae
Description: lncRNA (ENSANIG00000000159.1)
Source: RNAcentral
AUGCAUUCCCCCCCGGCAGGUCUCACCUAUGCAGAGCGUGAGGUAGAGCAGGCCCAUACGGAUGUCGAGGCGGAAGAAGAGGAUGGCAUUUGCCACUUUGCUGAACAUGAAGAUGUUCCCGAUGUGCUGCUCCACGGUGACUGCGGGAGGGAGAGAAGGAUAGAAGACGGGGCCAUGUCCCCCCAGAAGACCAGGGGGGAUCUGGUGGGAGGGCCAGAUCUGACCCUCCAGAUCCCAACCCACCCGGCCCCCUGGGGGAGGCCCCCUGAGCAGCCCCACGGCCCCCCACGCCCAGCCCCCAAGCACAGGCCCCAACUCACUAGAUCGUCGGUUCUUCAUCAUCACAAUGGCGCUGAGGAACAUGAGGAUCUCCACCUCCCGCUGGGAGGACAGGAGAGACGUUUUGAGCAGGAGGCACCCGUGGCACCCAGCCAGCACCGGCUGCAGCCGUGCUGCCCUCCCACAGCCAGGCUGCUCCUGGUCCAGCCUGGCACAGUGAAAGCAGCAGCCAUGCCAGGCCCUGCUGGCCCCGAGUCCCUGCUGGUUCCCCAUCUCCUCCCAGAGCUCCUUUCCCUCCCUCCCGCAGGCCGAGGGAGAGGCGGCAAGGGCAGCGGCUGCCCCUACAACGACAGGCGCGGCCCCCCCCACCCUCGCCGGUGCCCGGGGAGCCCCUCAGCAGCGGGACGGCGCCGGUGGAGCCAUGCCAGCGGCUACUGGGCCUUCCCGCUCCCGCGGGUGGGCCGGGGGUGCAGGCCCGGAGGAGGGCCCGUCCCGGGGGCGCGGGGCCGAGGCCGGGCCGCCUCACCCAGUCGAAGUCGCAGGGGUUGCCGUCCUCCCGCUGGGAGGGCAGCCCUUGGCAGAGCGGCGGGACCUUGCGGACGAGCAGGAAGGCGGUGGCCAGCAGAGCGGAGAGCGGGUAGUAGGGCCGCGCUAGCCAGCGGCACAGCCCCGGCACCGAGUACAGCAAGGCCAGCAGCGGCGCCACCACCGCCAUCUUCCCCUCCGCUCUCCCGGCCGCCGUCCGUCCGUCCGCCCGUCCGCUCCGCGGCAGACAGGACUUCUUCUCCCCCGGCCAGUAGCGAGCGGCGCUGUCAAGCACUUCCCGUGCCCGGGCGGACCAAUGAGGGGGGAAGAGGGAAGCGGCCAAUCGGAAGGCUGGGGCCGAGUCUCCCGUAG